This 490-nucleotide ribosomal RNA is filed under the name uncultured bacterium. Its description in RNAcentral is "partial 16S ribosomal RNA". It matches the Rfam family "Bacterial small subunit ribosomal RNA", at positions 30 to 507 of the family's 1533-position model. The record is from RNAcentral.
AUUGAACGCUGGCGGCAGGCCUAACACAUGCAAGUCGAACGGUAACAGGAAGCAGCUUGCUGCUUUGCUGACGAGUGGCGGACGGGUGAGUAAUGUCUGGGAAACUGCCCGAUGGAGGGGGAUAACUACUGGAAACGGUAGCUAAUACCGCAUAACGUCGCAAGACCAAAGAGGGGGACCUUAGGGCCUCUUGCCAUCGGAUGUGCCCAGAUGGGAUUAGCUAGUAGGUGGGGGAACGGCUCACCUAGGCGACGAUCCCUAGCUGGUCUGAGAGGAUGACCAGCCACACUGGAACUGGGACACGGUCCAGACUCCUACGGGAGGCAGCAGUGGGGAAUAUUGCACAAUGGGCGCAAGCCUGAUGCAGCCAUGCCGCGUGUAUGAAGAAGGCCUUCGGGUUGUAAAGUACUUUCAGCGGGGAGGAAGGGAGUAAAGUUAAUACCUUUGCUCAUUGACGUUACCCGCAGAAGAAGCACCGGCUAACUCCGUG